CUUCAAUGUUUUGAAUUGGACUUCCUCGAAUUAAUCCGGCUAAAAUAGCUAAAUGGCCGUUGUGGACCCCAUCCUCAAUUGCAGGGGGCACAAAAGACAUCAUCGGCUUGGCAUUCGGAAGCUGUAUCGAAUUUUGGGGCUGUUACAAAAGCACAACCUCUUUUUACGUUGGUAACCCCAUUAACUUUAUGGAUUCGUUUAAUACAAGCCGGUUGGUUAUUUGCAGAAUCCGCACUGUUCCCACAAGUUACGAUUUUAUCACAAACUUCAUCUUUAUUCCCACUACAAUCAUAGCAUUGCAAUGAAUAAACUAAAAAAGAAUAAUUUCAUCUGAUUCUUCGUUCCCACCUUGAAACGUUUAAGCUGUUAUUUAUUCCAUUACGUCACCGCAUGAUUUCACAGGUGGGUAUAAAAAAUUAAUUCCAUUUAAGGUCAAUC
Molecule: long non-coding RNA, 438 nt
Filed under: Onthophagus taurus
Lineage: Eukaryota; Metazoa; Arthropoda; Insecta; Coleoptera; Scarabaeidae
Description: uncharacterized LOC111426334, transcript variant X1
Source: RNAcentral